AAUUGCUGUAGUAUUUUGACUAUACAAAGGUAUUGAAAUAAGAUUUUAAUUGAAUGCUAAGAGAAUGGAAAUACAGGGAAAAACUUUUUUUUAAAUUAAAAAUUGAAAUUUUUUUAAUUUGUGCAGAAACAAUUAUUAAUAUUAAGGACAAGAAGACCCUAUGAAUUUAUUAAAUUUUAUUUAAUAUGUAAUUACUAUUAGAAAAAUUUUGGCUGGGGCGGCUAAAAAAUAUUUUAAACUUUUUAAAAAUAAAAUGAUCCAUUAUUAAUGAUUAUAUGUUAAAUACUCUAGGGAUAACAGCGUUAUAUUUUUUGAUAGAUCAUAUUGACAAAAAAGUUUGCGACCUCGAUGUUGGAUUAGGAUACUUUUUUAAUGCAGAUAUUAAAAAAAGAAGUUUGUUCAACUUUUAAUUUCCUACUUGAUCU
RNAcentral lists this ribosomal RNA (425 nucleotides) under Rhipicephalus sanguineus (brown dog tick). Its description in RNAcentral is "partial 16S ribosomal RNA". Lineage: Eukaryota; Metazoa; Arthropoda; Arachnida; Ixodida; Ixodidae. The record is from RNAcentral.